AGAGAGAGACAUGCGCGCAUAUCAAUAAGCGGAGGAAAAGAAACUAACUAGGAUUCCCCUCAGUAACGGCGAGUGAAGCGGGAAGAGCUCAAAUUUGAAAUCUUCAAGGGUUCUACCUUGACGAAUUGUAGUUUAAAGAAGUGUUUUCUGUUGGAGUUUUGGUAAAAGUUCUUUGGAAUAGGACAUCAUAGAGGGUGAGAAUCCCGUAUUUGACCAUUAUUUCCAGCUUUGUGAUACACUUUCAAAGAGUCGGAUUGUUUGGGAAUGCAGUCCAAAAUGGGUGGUAAAUUUCAUCUAAAGCUAAAUAUUGGCGAGAGACCGAUAGCGAACAAGUACCGUGAGGGAAAGAUGAUAAAGAACUUUGAAAAGAGAGUUAAACAGUACGUGAAAUUGUCAAAAGGGAAGCGUUUGACACCAGUGUUGUUUUCUCGAAAAUCAAUUAAAAAAGGCAGGAUUUUGUGUUGUAUUGACUUUAUCAGCUUUCUGCACUCUUUUCUUGUCUUUUUUAAUGCACUUUUCGUUUAACAAGUCAACAUCAGUUUCUUUUGUUGUAAAAGGGUCAUUGGAAGGUGGCUUUCUUUUCGGAGAAAGUGUUUAUAGCCUUUGGCCUCUGCAAUCGGAGAGAUUGAGGUCUGCAGCGUAGAUCCUUCGGGGUUAGAUACAUUUGUGCUAAGUUAUAGCCUUUCAUAGACAACUUGUUGACUAUGAUCUGUCAUGUAGCUUACUCGCUUAUGCUAUUUUACCUACGCUUAGGAUGUUGAUGUGAUACUGCGAGC
RNAcentral lists this ribosomal RNA (776 nucleotides) under uncultured Neocallimastigales. RNAcentral's name for it is "partial large subunit ribosomal RNA". It matches the Rfam family "Eukaryotic large subunit ribosomal RNA", at positions 23 to 645 of the family's 3401-position model. Lineage: Eukaryota; Fungi; Neocallimastigomycota; Neocallimastigomycetes; Neocallimastigales. The record is from RNAcentral.